CACCAGAAUCCUGCGUGAUAGUCAUCUCGGAAUGGUUUAAAGGUGCAAGCUUGAUCUCCUAUGAAAUUACACAGGGGCAUCAUACAGUUCAGAUUGGGCUCUGCAUCAAGGGAUCUUCAUGGAAGAAGAGCUCCUCUCAGCAAGCUGGGCACAAGAUGGCUGGUGCGGCUGAUGUUCUCUAUCCUUGGAGAUAGAAGAGAGGAGAAAGGGUAACUGGGCUUCUUGGAAUAGAAGAGAGACAAAGUCUAGGAGAAUGUGGUAAGGUGUUUUGAAUCUCUGGGGCUUCCUUAUGUUUGAUCUGGGCAUUCUUUAUAACUCUAAUUUGGUGAUAAAGUCCUUAAAUGGGUAGUGUUUGGUCCUUAUUGGAUGGAUGGCAUGGGCAAGGGGGGCCUGGGGAAAGGGAAGUCUUGGAGAGAACUCUAAAAGGAAAUCCAUAAAAGAGGGAGGAGAACAAUGUCUCUCCCAGAAGCCUGCUGGAAAGGAAGGCUGAUGGAAGGUGCCUAGAGAUAAGGUAUUGAGUCAGAAAAGGUUAAACAGAAGAGUGCCUUUUGUAAAUGCUGAAAAUCUCAUGGCGGCUCAUUGUUAUUGCCCUGAUAUAUAGUUUCAUCUUC
RNAcentral lists this long non-coding RNA (611 nucleotides) under Macaca mulatta (Rhesus monkey). RNAcentral's name for it is "lncRNA (ENSMMUG00000056585.1)". Lineage: Eukaryota; Metazoa; Chordata; Mammalia; Primates; Cercopithecidae. The record is from RNAcentral.